This 497-nucleotide ribosomal RNA is filed under the name uncultured bacterium. RNAcentral's name for it is "partial 16S ribosomal RNA". It matches the Rfam family "Bacterial small subunit ribosomal RNA", at positions 28 to 507 of the family's 1533-position model. The record is from RNAcentral.
GAUGAACGCUGGCGGCGUGCCUAAUACAUGCAAGUCGAGCGAACAGACGAGGAGCUUGCUCCUCUGACGUUAGCGGCGGACGGGUGAGUAACACGUGGAUAACCUACCUAUAAGACUGGGAUAACUUCGGGAAACCGGAGCUAAUACCGGAUAAUAUAUUGAACCGCAUGGUUCAAUAGUGAAAGACGGUUUUGCUGUCACUUAUAGAUGGAUCCGCGCCGCAUUAGCUAGUUGGUAAGGUAACGGCUUACCAAGGCGACGAUGCGUAGCCGACCUGAGAGGGUGAUCGGCCACACUGGAACUGAGACACGGUCCAGACUCCUACGGGAGGCAGCAGUAGGGAAUCUUCCGCAAUGGGCGAAAGCUUGACGGAGCAACGCCGCGUGAGUGAUGAAGGUCUUCGGAUCGUAAAACUCUGUUAUUAGGGAAGAACAAAUGCGUAAGUAACUAUGCACGUCUUGACGGUACCUAAUCAGAAAGCCACGGCUAACUACGUG